AAGGCUUGACCUCAAAUCAGGUAGGACUACCCGCUGAACUAAGCAUAUCAAUA
RNAcentral lists this ribosomal RNA (53 nucleotides) under Pisolithus tinctorius. RNAcentral describes it as "partial 28S ribosomal RNA". Lineage: Eukaryota; Fungi; Basidiomycota; Agaricomycetes; Boletales; Pisolithaceae. The record is from RNAcentral.